ACUGAGUCCCUGAGUGACCUCAGUGUCUCUGUGAAGUGAGGAGGUGGAGCCAGGCCACUGAGCCUCUUCAUCUCUGCCACCACGGACUCUUGCCCUGUGGUUGUAAUGAAUGAUUCCAGGGACACCAGGAAAAGGUGGGCAGGAAGCUGUGGUGCCCUCUCUAUUUUUACACACAGCCACCCUCUGAAGGGGAUUCACGCUGUGAUUUAUUAACUUGUCUGUCUGUGGAGUUGGGUGUCUUGGUGGGAGUCCUGGACUCAGGUACCAUUUAGCAACCUUGAGAGUUCAAAGGGCUCAGCCAUUGGACAUGGUAUGUGGUGGUUUCCCGGUGCAUGCCUGGCUCCACCUCUCCCCUGCUCAAGGAUGCCUGCGUGCUUUGGGCAGGAAAAGCCAAACUUGGUUGCUUUGGCAACAGGGGUCUUGGUGAGAAGCUGGUACACAAGCAGGUGCUUCCAGUGUGCCAGAGAAAGGCACAGGGCCUUCUUCGCCCCGAGUCUUCUUACUUCUCUGAUGGAGCUGAGUCAUGCAUCACCUCUUGUUUAAUGGUGGUGAAAUAUACUCAGGUACUCUGAUACUGUGAAAUAUACAUUUGGUCUUCAUCUCCCUUUCCUGGCAAGAGAUCCUGAAGCCCUGGAAUCUCUAGAGGGAUAUGAGUGUCUUUUGUCUGCUUCUGAGAUGGCUGGUGGCCCCUAAAUAGCCUCAGGAUGGGGGCACAUGCCUUGUUCUGUGGAUCUCUUUCACCUGGAUUAAACUGGUAAAUGUUCAUCUGAUCUUCACAAACUGCUAUUGCUCUCUUGAUGUACAUUAAAGAGAUCUUUAAUUUCUAAAGAAUUAGUUUAGGAAGUCCUCACCAGAGCAAUCAGGCGGGAGAAAAAAAUAAAAGGCAUCCAGAUUGGAAAAGAGGAAGUCAAAUUAUCCCUGUUCAUUGAUGAUAUGAUGUUACAUCUAGAAAACCCUAAAGACUCCACAAAAAAAAAUCCUUAGGUUUGAUAAAUAAAUUCAGUAAAGUUUCAGGAUACAAAAAAAUUAAUGUACAGAAAUCAGUAGUGUUUCUAUACACUGAUAAGAAUCUAGCUGAGGACCAAAUCAAGAAAGCAAUUCCAUUUACAAUAGCUACAACAGCAACAACAACAAAACUAAACAAAACCUAGAAAUAUGCUUUACCAAGGAAAUGAAAGAUCUCUAUAAGGAGGACUACAAAACACUGAUUAAAGAAAUUGUACAAGACUCAAACAAAUAAAGCAUCCCAUGCUCAUGGAUUAGAAGAAUCAAUAUUGUUAAAAUGACCAUACUGCCCAAAGCAAUCCACCGACUCAAUGCAACCCCUAUCAAAUUAUGAAUGUUGUUUUUCAGAGUCAGAAAAAACAAUACCAAAAUUCAUAUGGAAUCAAAAAAGAGCCUGAAUCAUCAAAAAACCUCACCAAAAAGAACAAAGCUGAAGGCAACAUAUUGUCUGACUUCAAAUUAUAUUACAAGGCUGUAGUAACCAAAACAGCAUGGCACUGCUAUAAAAACAGACACAUGGAUCAAUGGAACAGAAUAAAAAGCCUAGAAAUAAAGCCACCCUCUUACAAUCAACUGAUCUUCAACAAAGUUGACAAAAAUAUACACUGGGGAAAGAACAUUCUAUUCAAUAAAUGAUGCUGUGAAAAUUGGAUAGUCAUGCAGAAGAAGGAAACUAGAUGCAUACCUCUCACCAUAUAUAAAAAUUAACUCAAGAUGGAUUGAAGACCUAAACAUAAGUUGAAACUGUAAAAAUCCUAGAAGAAAACCUAUGAAAAACUCUUCUGGACAUUGGCCUAGGCAAAGAAUUUACGACCAGGUCCUCAAACAAACAAAACAACAACAAGAAUAACAAAACCAAAAAUAAAGAAGAUGUAAUUAAACUAAAAACUUCUGCACAGCAGAAGAAACAAUCAACAGAGUAAACAGACAACCUGUAGAAUGGGAAACAAUAUUUGCACACUAUGCAUCUUACAAAGGGCUAAUAUCUAGGAUCUGUAAGGCACUCAAACAACUCAACAAGAAAACCCCAUUAAAAAUUGGGCAAAGGACAUGAGCAGACCUUUUUUGAAAGAAGACAUACAAGCAGCCAACAAACAUAUGAAAACACUGCUCAACAUCACUAAUCAUCAGAGAAAUGCAAAUUAAAACCACAAUGAGACGCCAUCUUACACCAUCAGAAUGGCUAUUAUUAAAAAGUCAAAAAACAACAGAUAUUGGCAAGGAUGUGGAAAAAAGAGUAUACUUACACACUGUUGGUGGGAAUGUAAAUUAGUACAACCUUUAUGGGAAAUAAUAUGGAGAUUUCUUAAAGAACUAAAAAUAGAACUAUCUUUCAAUCCAGCAACUGAGUAUCUACCCAAAGGGAAAGAAAUAAUUAUAUUAAAAUGAUACCUGCACUCAUAUGUUUAUUGUAACACUAUUCACAAUAGGAAAGAUAUGGAAUCAACUUAAGUGUCCAUUAAUGGAGGACUAGAUAAAGAAAAUGUUAUACACACACACACCCACACACACAAACACACCCACACACACCCCACGGAAUACUACUCAGCCAUCAAAAAGAAUGAAAUCAUGUCUUUUGCAGCAACAUACAUGGAACUGGAGGCCAUUACCCUAAGUGAAAUAACUCAAACAGAAAAUCAAAUGCCACAUGUUCUCACUUAUAAGUGAGAGCUGAACAAUGGGUACCCAUGGAUGUAUAGAGUGGAAUAAUAGACACCAAAGGCUACAAAAGGUGGGAAAGUUGGGAGGGGAUUGAGGGAUGGAAAAUUCCUAUUGGGUACAAUGUUCACUAUUCAGGUGAUGGGUACACUAAAAGACCAGGUGUCACCACUAUGCAAUAUAUGUAUAUAAAAA
RNAcentral lists this long non-coding RNA (2859 nucleotides) under Homo sapiens (human). RNAcentral describes it as "HSALNT0094574". Lineage: Eukaryota; Metazoa; Chordata; Mammalia; Primates; Hominidae. The record is from RNAcentral.